This 483-nucleotide ribosomal RNA is filed under the name uncultured bacterium. Its description in RNAcentral is "partial 16S ribosomal RNA". It matches the Rfam family "Bacterial small subunit ribosomal RNA", at positions 29 to 506 of the family's 1533-position model. The record is from RNAcentral.
AUUGAACGCUGGCGGAAUGCUUUACACAUGCAAGUCGAACGGCAGCACGGGGGCAGCCCUGGUGGCGAGUGGCGAACGGGUGAGUAAUACAUCGGAACGUGCCCGGUCGUGGGGGAUAACGUAGCGAAAGUUACGCUAAUACCGCAUACGAUCUGAGGAUGAAAGCGGGGGACCUUCGGGCCUCGCGCGAUCGGAGCGGCCGAUGUCAGAUUAGGUAGUUGGUGGGGUAAAGGCCUACCAAGCCGACGAUCUGUAGCUGGUCUGAGAGGACGACCAGCCACACGGGGACUGAGACACGGCCCAGACUCCUACGGGAGGCAGCAGUGGGGAAUUUUGGACAAUGGGCGCAAGCCUGAUCCAGCCAUUCCGCGUGCAGGACGAAGGCCUUCGGGUUGUAAACUGCUUUUGUACGGAACGAAAAGGCUCUGGCUAAUACCUGGGGCUCAUGACGGUACCGUAAGAAUAAGCACCGGCUAACUACGU